This 449-nucleotide ribosomal RNA is filed under the name uncultured bacterium. RNAcentral describes it as "partial 16S ribosomal RNA". It matches the Rfam family "Bacterial small subunit ribosomal RNA", at positions 338 to 795 of the family's 1533-position model. The record is from RNAcentral.
CCUACGGGGGGCUGCAGUGGGGAAUUUUGGACAAUGGGGGAAACCCUGAUCCAGCCAUGCCGCGUGCGGGAAGAAGGCCUUCGGGUUGUAAACCGCUUUCAGCCGGAAAGAAAUCGCACGGACCAAUACUCUGUGUGGAUGACGGUACCGGAAGAAGAAGCACCGGCUAACUACGUGCCAGCAGCCGCGGUAAUACGUAGGGUGCGAGUGUUAAUCGGAAGUACGGGGCGGAAUUCGUGAGCAGGCGGUGAAAUCCCCGGGCUUAACCUGGGAACUGCGUUUGGAACUGGGAGACUAGAGUGUGUCAGAGGGAGGUGGAAUUCCGCGUGUAGCAGUGAAAUGCGUAGAUAUGCGGAGGAACACCGAUGGCGAAGGCAGCCUCCUGGGAUAACACUGACGCUCAUGCACGAAAGCGUGGGGAGCAAACAGGAUUAGAUACCCCAGUAGUC